Lophium mytilinum is the source of this 144-nucleotide non-coding RNA. The record is from the annotation of a GenBank genome assembly. Lineage: Eukaryota; Fungi; Ascomycota; Dothideomycetes; Mytilinidiales; Mytilinidiaceae.
GCUCCUUUAGUUCAGUGGUAGAACGCGUGACUCGUAAAACCCAGCUGGCCGAGCCCGGGCGAUGGUGUUCCAUCGGGUGUCCCUCCUGGGUGCGCCAGGGGUGGAGUAAUCACGAGGUCCUCGGUUCAAUCCCGAGAGGGAGCU